This 675-nucleotide long non-coding RNA is filed under the name Salvia miltiorrhiza (redroot sage). RNAcentral's name for it is "long non-coding RNA (SMIL_LNC009720)". The record is from RNAcentral. Lineage: Eukaryota; Viridiplantae; Streptophyta; Magnoliopsida; Lamiales; Lamiaceae.
UUGAAGUGCAUUAUUUUGGUCAAGGAAUUGGAUAUGAGAGGGGCCGAGAUUUAUUUUUUUUUUUUUAAGAUUUUGGGAGGGGCCGAAAUCUCAACUGAGUUUUGUGAAGAUUUAAUUUUGGAUAAAUGUAAUGUCACAAAAUUAGGAUCUAAUUUGAAGGAUCGUCAAAAUCUUCGAAAAUUAAAGAGACAAUUCGUUUAAUCAUUUAAACAAAUAAUGUGUGUAAUAAUUUAAAUUUUAAAUAACACGAAAAAAUAUUAACCUUACUAAAUUAUUAGUGUAAAACAAUAAAAAAUAUAAUUUUCGAAACAAAUAAUGUGUGUAGAAACAAAUCUAUGAUUAGUUUUAAGAGAAUCAUAAAUAUGUGGAAACAAAUAAAUAAAACAUAAAUUUUGAAAUAAAAAUAAUUUAAUCUUAAAAAAAAUUAAUUUCGAAAAAAAUAAUACUUGGAAAAAAAUGUAGGAUUAUUUUAACAAGAAACACUAAAUUAUUGGUAACAAAUCAAUAAUAAUAUUUUGAAACAAAAAAAAUAAAAAAAAUCCGGAAUAAAACUAUAUGGUUUAUAUAUAAUUUUGGAAAAUAAAAAAACCAACAAAUAAGGAAACAAAAUAACCGAAAAAUUAGGAACAAAAAAACCCAUAAAUUUUGAAAAUCAUAAAAUAGAAAAAGCAAAAC